GAUGAAGAACGCAGCGAAAUGCGAUACGUAAUGUGAAUUGCAGAAUUCAGUGAAUCAUCGAGUCUUUGAACGCACAUUGCGCCCCCUGGUAUUCCGGGGGGCAUGCCUGUCCGAGCGUCAUUGCUGCCCUCAAGCACGGCUUGUGUGUUGGGCCUCCGUCCUCCUCCCGGGGGACGGGCCCGAAAGGCAGCGGCGGCACCGCGUCCGGUCCUCGAGCGUAUGGGGCUUCGUCACCCGCUCUUGUAGGCCCGGCCGGCGCUUGCCGACACAUCAAUCUUUUUUCCAGGUUGACCUCGGAUGAGGUAGGGAUACCCGCUGAACUUAAGCAUAUCAAUAAGCGGAGGA
RNAcentral lists this unclassified non-coding RNA (345 nucleotides) under soil metagenome. RNAcentral describes it as "partial contains 5.8S ribosomal RNA, internal transcribed spacer 2, and large subunit ribosomal RNA". The stretch from base 1 to 120 matches the Rfam family "5.8S ribosomal RNA", at positions 35 to 154 of the family's 154-position model. The record is from RNAcentral.